RNAcentral lists this ribosomal RNA (500 nucleotides) under uncultured bacterium. RNAcentral's name for it is "partial 16S ribosomal RNA". It matches the Rfam family "Bacterial small subunit ribosomal RNA", at positions 28 to 523 of the family's 1533-position model. The record is from RNAcentral.
GGUGAACGCUGGCGGUAUGGAUAAGGCAUGCAAGUCGAACGGGAGCACGGACUUCGGUCUGGUGGCGAGUGGCGAACGGGUGAGUAAUGUAUCGGAACGUGCCCAGUCGUGGGGGAUAACGUAGUGAAAAUUACGCUAAUACCGCAUACGAUCAAUGGAUGAAAGCGGGGGAUCGCAAGACCUCGCGCGAUUGGAGCGGCCGAUAUCAGAUUAGGUAGUUGGGGGGGUAAAGGCCCACCAAGCCAACGAUCUGUAGCUGGUCUGAGAGGACGACCAGCCACACUGGGACUGAGACACGGUCCAGACUCCUACGGGAGGCAGCAGUGGGGAAUUUUGGACAAUGGGCGAAGGCCUGAUCCAGCCAUUCCGCGUGCAGGAUGAAGGCCCUCGGGUUGUAAACUGCUUUUGUACAGAACGAAAAGGUUUCUACUAAUACUAGGAGCUCAUGACGGUACUGUAAGAAUAAGCACCGGCUAACUACGUGCCAGCAGCCGCCGCAG